GCUGGGCUCUCUCCCGUGGUGCUGGGGCAGUGGGAGGCACAGAGCGGAAAGCAGCAGACCUAGGCGCCCACAGGUAACUUUCUCGAGAGGAGCUGGAUUCUUUCACUCAAGGAUACAAGGCAGAGGGACGAACUGCGAGCUGAUUGGAUGGAGGUGGCUCUCAGGUGAGCUGCCAUUGGAAGAGGCGCGCUCAGGACCUGAUCUCCAACAGACUUCAGUGGAGCUCUGCCAGUUUAUACAAGCUGAAGAUCUGGCCCACAGUUUGCCCCCUCAGAGUUCCAGCAAGCUCAGUGAAGAAACUACUAGAUUCCCAAAUGGUUCCCUAACAGCCACUUUGCCGCCUUCCUCCAGCGCCUAUGUCCUGCAAUGAUCGCAGCAUGUCCAGAUUGAAGAAUCAGAUCCGUUGUGUUGAAAGCAGACUGCUACCAGGACAGGCAGCAUGGCGUAGCUUUGUGCCUUAUUUAUUCUUUUGCAAGACCAGAUGCUUAUCUAGCUGAACCCCUAUGUUCCUAUACUGCAUGAACUGGCAUAAGUUUAUUAACUGUUCUUUAAUAAAGUUUGUAAAUAGUGGGUACCAGAGCCUUUGUUACCUGCUUCAAAGCUAUGGAAUAUACUGUGUAAUGACAUUACAUCUAUUUCCUUGGUUCCAGUGUUUAAGAGAUAGAUGAAGUAUCUAUGUUUUUUCAAGCCUUUCAGGCAGUUUGAGCUCUGCAAACUCUUCAUACUGUAUAAUGCCUUGAGACACUUUGUAAACAAAUGAGGGUUGUAUUGGAGAUUUUGCUUCCUUUAUUCCAGUAUGGAAAGUAAACAUCGCAGGAUAAACAGGUUUAUUUACAA
Long non-coding RNA from Chrysemys picta bellii (western painted turtle), 837 nucleotides. RefSeq lists it as uncharacterized. The record is from RefSeq and is a predicted model, not a curated record. NCBI's taxonomy places the organism in Eukaryota, Metazoa, Chordata, Testudines, Emydidae.